UGAGGAAUAUUGCUCAAUGGGCGAAAGCCUGAAGCAGCAACGCCGCGUGCGCGAUGAAGGCCUUCGGGUCGUAAAGCGCUUUUGAGAGGGACGAGAUAGGACGGUACCUCUUGAAUAAGUCACGGCUAACUACGUG
RNAcentral lists this ribosomal RNA (136 nucleotides) under agricultural soil bacterium CRS5644T18-1. RNAcentral's name for it is "partial 16S ribosomal RNA". It matches the Rfam family "Bacterial small subunit ribosomal RNA", at positions 355 to 507 of the family's 1533-position model. The record is from RNAcentral.